ACGGGAGGCAGCAGUGGGGGAUAUUGCACAAUGGGGGAAACCCUGAUGCAGCGACGCCGCGUGAGUGAAGAAGUAUUUCGGUAUGUGAAGCUCUAUCAGCAGGAAAGAUAAUGACGGUACCUGACUAAGAAGCACCGGCUAAAUACGUGCCAGCAGCCGCGGUAAUACGUAUGGUGCAAGCGUUAUCCGGAUUUACUGGGUGUAAAGGGAGCGCAGACGGCAUGGCAAGCCAGAUGUGAAAGGCAGGGGCUCAACUCCUGGACUGCAUUUGGAACUGUCAAGCUAGAGUAUCGGAGAGGUAAGUGGAAUUCCUAGUGUAGCGGUGAAAUGCGUAGAUAUUAGGAGGAACACCAGUGGCGAAGGCGGCUUACUGGACGAUAACUGACGUUGAGGCUCGAAAGCGUGGGGAGCAAACAGGAUUAGAUACCCUGGUA
RNAcentral lists this ribosomal RNA (434 nucleotides) under uncultured Lachnospiraceae bacterium. RNAcentral's name for it is "partial 16S ribosomal RNA". It matches the Rfam family "Bacterial small subunit ribosomal RNA", at positions 341 to 792 of the family's 1533-position model. The record is from RNAcentral. Lineage: Bacteria; Bacillati; Bacillota; Clostridia; Lachnospirales; Lachnospiraceae.